Molecule: transfer RNA, 60 nt
Filed under: Planctomycetota bacterium
Lineage: Bacteria; Pseudomonadati; Planctomycetota
Description: tRNA-Asn
Rfam family: tRNA
About the family: Transfer RNA (tRNA) molecules are approximately 80 nucleotides in length.
Source: RNAcentral
GUAGCUCAAUUGGCAGAGUAGGUGGCUGUUAACCACUUGGUUGUUGGUUCGAAUCCAACC